UCCCUGGUGGCUCAGAGGAGAAAGCAUCUGCCUGCAAUGCAGGAGGCCCUGGGUUCGAUCCCUGGGUUGGGAA
This 73-nucleotide transfer RNA is filed under the name Bos taurus (domestic cattle). It matches the Rfam family "tRNA". Rfam says of the family: Transfer RNA (tRNA) molecules are approximately 80 nucleotides in length. RNAcentral also lists the same sequence under 5 other names. The record is from Rfam by way of RNAcentral. Lineage: Eukaryota; Metazoa; Chordata; Mammalia; Artiodactyla; Bovidae.